This is a long non-coding RNA of Sceloporus undulatus (fence lizard), 465 nucleotides long. RefSeq lists it as uncharacterized. The transcript is spliced from 3 exons. NCBI's taxonomy places the organism in Eukaryota, Metazoa, Chordata, Lepidosauria, Squamata, Phrynosomatidae. The record is from RefSeq and is a predicted model, not a curated record.
AAGGUUUUUGUGAGGAUAAACUGAGGAUCAGGUGAGCCAUGUGUGCCAGCUUGAACUGACUGAAGAACAGAUGAAUCUGACUGGCUUCAUAUUAUAGUGCCAUACGGUGACCUAAUUCGUUAUGUGUUCUCCUGUUGACUGAGAUCCCUACUGUGAUUAGCAGAGAAAGAAAAGAUAUGAAUAUUAUAUGGUGAGAAAAUGCUACAGACAUAACAGCAGAUAGGGUUUUGAGGUCUACUUUCCUGUGUUUUCGAAGUGAAAGACGAUUUGGUGUAAAGACGACUGAGGCUCUCCACUGGGGUGUCACACAAGCCAGCAGGAUGUCCCCUGCAGUCACCUGGGAAAAGUCAGAUGUGCACACCACCAGAAUGGGUGAGAAGUAGAUCAGCCCACACAAUUGGUCUUGUUUUCUGCACUGUACUUGACGAGUGGCACUUUUCUAAUUCCUGACAUGGAAAAUCAACA